RNAcentral lists this ribosomal RNA (433 nucleotides) under uncultured bacterium. Its description in RNAcentral is "partial 16S ribosomal RNA". It matches the Rfam family "Bacterial small subunit ribosomal RNA", at positions 29 to 507 of the family's 1533-position model. The record is from RNAcentral.
AACGAACGCUGGCGGCAUGCCUAACACAUGCAAGUCGAACGAGACCUUCGGGUCUAGUGGCGCACGGGUGCGUAACGCGUGGGAACCUGCCCUUAGGUUCGGAAUAACUCCCCGAAAGGGGUGCUAAUACCGGAUAAUGUCUUCGGACCAAAGAUUUAUCGCCUUUGGAUGGGCCCGCGUUGGAUUAGCUAGUUGGUAGGGUAAAAGCCUACCAAGGCGACGAUCCAUAGCUGGUCUGAGAGGAUGAUCAGCCACACUGGGACUGAGACACGGCCCAGAAUCCUACGGGAAGCAGCAGUGGGGAAUAUUGGACAAUGGGGGAAAGCCUGAUCCAGCAAUGCCGCGUGAGUGAUGAAGGCCUUAGGGUUGUAAAGCUCUUUUAACCGGGAUGAUAAUGACAGUACCGGGAGAAUAAGCGCCGGCUAACUCCGUG